GGUGUACGUACCAUGUAGACAUUGUCAAAGUGUAGUUAAGGGUAACACCAGGUGUACGUACCAUGUAGACAUUGUCAAAGUGUAGUUAAGGGUAACACCAGGUGUACGUACCAUGUAGACAUUGUCAAAGUGUAGUUAAGGGUAACACCAGGUGUACGUACCAUGUAGACAUUGUCAAAGUGUAGUUAAGGGUAACACCAGGUGUAUGUACCAUGUAGACAUUGUCAAAGUGUAGUUAAGGGUAACACCAGGUGUACGUACCAUGUAGACAUUGUCAAAGUUUAGUUAAGGGUAACACCAGGUGUACGUACCAUGUAGACAUUGUUAAAGUGUAGUUAAGGGUAACACCAGGUGUACGUACCGUGUAGACAUUGUCAAAGCGUAGUUAAGGGUAACACCAGGUGUACGUACCAUGUAGACAUUGUGUAGUUCGAUAUUUCAUGAAGUGAAGGUACCUCCCCAGCAAUAACAUUGUCGGAUGGUUGGAUUCAAUGAUGUCGGCGUUCAGGUCAGCAUGGGUCGUUGCAAGUUAUAUCUAACUCGUCGAUUCUUGGUUGACAGCAUUCAGUCAGACCAGACAGCAAUCGUAACCUUUCAUUGGUUAUCUUGACAACUGCCUACUUGCCUUGAACGUCAUUCACUGAAACCAUUCAGAAACAUGAACUCUUUAAUUUUGUAAAGACUUUCAACAGUAAUAAAGCUAAACAGGCGUUCUGACGCUUUGUAUAUUCCAAGCUGAAUGUGAAUUCCCAAAAGCUUUUGUGAAAACGUUCAAUGGCAGGUCCAACAACACAACAACAUUGAAGGCAAAGGUUUGAAGUUUAAAAGUUUUCUG
Haliotis rubra (blacklip abalone) is the source of this 835-nucleotide long non-coding RNA. RefSeq lists it as uncharacterized. Lineage: Eukaryota; Metazoa; Mollusca; Gastropoda; Lepetellida; Haliotidae. The record is from RefSeq and is a predicted model, not a curated record. The transcript has 3 exons.